This 1713-nucleotide ribosomal RNA is filed under the name Clostridioides difficile. RNAcentral's name for it is "partial 23S ribosomal RNA". It matches the Rfam family "Bacterial large subunit ribosomal RNA", at positions 892 to 2623 of the family's 2925-position model. The record is from RNAcentral. Lineage: Bacteria; Bacillati; Bacillota; Clostridia; Peptostreptococcales; Peptostreptococcaceae.
GAUACGGAGGUAGAGCACUGAAUGUCCUAGGGGGUAUUGCACCUACCGAAGACUAUCAAACUCCGAAUGCCGUCAUCUUAUACUUGGGAGUCAGACUGUGGGUGAUAAGAUUCAUAGUCGAAAGGGCAACAGCCCAGAUCGUCAGCUAAGGUCCCUAAAUGUAAGUUAAGUGGUAAAGGAUGUGGGAUUGCACAGACAACCAGGAUGUUGGCUUAGAAGCAGCCACUCAUUCAAAGAGUGCGUAAUAGCUCACUGGUCGAGUGAUCCUGCGCCGAAGAUUUCCGGGGCUAAAACUUACUACCGAAGCUACGGCAUCAGUAAUGAUGGGUAGGGGAGCUUCCCAUACGGGUUGAAGCAUGACCGUAAGGACAUGUGGACAGUAUGGGAGUGAGAAUGUUGGCAUGAGUAGCGAGAUGUGGGUGAGAAUCCCACAGGCCGUAAACCCAAGGUUUCCAGGGGAAGGUUCGUCCGCCCUGGGUUAGUCGGGACCUAAGCUGAGGCCGAAAGGCGUAGGUGAUGGACAACAGGUUGAUAUUCCUGUACUACCGAUAACCGUUUGAGAGAAGGGAUGACACAGUAGGAUAAGCUAAGCACACUGUUGGUUAUGUGUGCCCAAGCAUUGAGGCAGUCAAAGUAGGCAAAUCCGCUUUGAUAAUGCUGGGAUGUGAUGGGGAGCGAAAUUUAGUAGCGAAGUAGCUGAUUUCACACUGUCAAGAAAAGUCUCUAUCGAGGUUAAAGGUACCCGUACCGCAAACCGACACAGGUGGGUGAGGAGAGUAUCCUAAGGCCAGCGAGAGAACUGUUGUUAAGGAACUCGGCAAAAUGACCCCGUAACUUAGGGAUAAGGGGUGCCACCAUCAGGUGGCCGCAGAGAAUAGGCCCAAGCGACUGUUUACCAAAAACAUAGGUUUCUGCUAAGUCGCAAGACGAUGUAUAGGAGCUGACGCCUGCCCGGUGCUGGAAGGUUAAGGGGAUCUGUUAGAGCAAUCGAAGCAGUGAACUUAAGCCCCAGUAAACGGCGGCCGUAACUAUAACGGUCCUAAGGUAGCGAAAUUCCUUGUCGGGUAAGUUCCGACCCGCACGAAAGGCGUAACGAUUUGGGCACUGUCUCAACAACAGACUCGGUGAAAUUGUAAUUCCGGUGAAGAUGCCGGAUACCUGCGACAGGACGGAAAGACCCCAUGGAGCUUUACUGUAGCUUGACAUUGGGUCUUGGUACUACAUGUACAGGAUAGGUGGGAGGCUUUGAAACCAGGACGCCAGUUUUGGCGGAGCCAUCCUUGGGAUACCACCCUUGUAGUACUGGGACUCUAACCAUAGGCCAUGAAUCUGGUCUUGGGACACUGUCAGGUGGGCAGUUUGACUGGGGCGGUCGCCUCCCAAAAGGUAACGGAGGCGCUCAAAGGUUCUCUCAGUACGGUCGGAAAUCGUACGUAGAGUGUAAAGGCAAAAGAGAGCUUGAUUGCAAGACAUACAGGUCGAGCAAGGAUGAAAAUCGGACUUAGUGAUCCGGUGGUUCUGCGUGGAAGGGCCAUCGCUCAACGGAUAAAAGCUACCCUGGGGAUAACAGGCUUAUCUCCCCCAAGAGUCCACAUCGACGGGGAGGUUUGGCACCUCGAUGUCGGCUCAUCACAUCCUGGGGCUGUAGUAGGUCCCAAGGGUUGGGCUGUUCGCCCAUUAAAGUGGUACGCGAGCUGGGUUCAGAACGUCGUG